UACGAAGGGGGCUAGCGUUGUUCGGAAUUACUGGGCGUAAAGCGCACGUAGGCGGCUAUUUAAGUCGGGGGUGAAAUCCCGGGGCUCAACCCCGGAACUGCCUUCGAUACUGGGUAUCUUGAGUUCGGAAGAGGUGAGUGGAAUUGCGAGUGUAGAGGUGAAAUUCGUAGAUAUUCGGAGGAACACCAGUGGCGAAGGCGGCUCACUGGGCCGAUACUGACGCUGAGGUGCGAAAGCGUGGGGAGCAAACAGG
RNAcentral lists this ribosomal RNA (253 nucleotides) under uncultured bacterium. RNAcentral's name for it is "partial 16S ribosomal RNA". It matches the Rfam family "Bacterial small subunit ribosomal RNA", at positions 524 to 776 of the family's 1533-position model. The record is from RNAcentral.